GCGACGCUGGAGUAGAGGUUUAACUUGUUCCCUUCCCAUUUUCUAAUAGUUAGGGAGAGACAGGGGUUCGACUCCCCUGCGUCGCA
Non-coding RNA from Mollisiaceae sp. DMI_Dod_QoI, 86 nucleotides. The record is from the annotation of a GenBank genome assembly. Lineage: Eukaryota; Fungi; Ascomycota; Leotiomycetes; Helotiales; Mollisiaceae.